Molecule: non-coding RNA, 273 nt
Organism: Plectropomus leopardus (leopard coralgrouper)
Lineage: Eukaryota; Metazoa; Chordata; Actinopteri; Perciformes; Serranidae
Source: RefSeq, a predicted model, not a curated record
CAGCUGUUGGUGGGGGCGUCUGUGCAGACAUAUUUACUGGAGAAGACCAGGGUGGCGUGCCAGCCGGCGAACGAGAGGAACUUCCACAUCUUUUACCAGAUGAUGAAAGGAGCCACAGAGGAGCAGAGGACGGACUGGAAGAUGCCACGCGACCAGCGUUUCGUGUGGCUGCCAAAUUCUGAAAAAACUGUUGAAGAGGACUGUUUUCAGGAGACUGUGGAGGCGAUGGUUCAUCUGGGCAUCAGUGCUGAGAGACAGAGACAGAUAUUCAGG